This 76-nucleotide transfer RNA is filed under the name Deltaproteobacteria bacterium. RNAcentral's name for it is "tRNA-Phe". It matches the Rfam family "tRNA". Rfam says of the family: Transfer RNA (tRNA) molecules are approximately 80 nucleotides in length. Their secondary structure includes four short double-helical elements and three loops (D, anti-codon, and T loops). Further hydrogen bonds mediate the characteristic L-shaped molecular structure. tRNAs have two regions of fundamental functional importance: the anti-codon, which is responsible for specific mRNA codon recognition, and the 3' end, to which the tRNAs corresponding amino acid is attached (by aminoacyl-tRNA synthetases). tRNAs cope with the degeneracy of the genetic code in two manners: having more than one tRNA (with a specific anti-codon) for a particular amino acid; and 'wobble' base-pairing, i.e. permitting non-standard base-pairing at the 3rd anti-codon position. Lineage: Bacteria; Pseudomonadati; Myxococcota; Myxococcia. The record is from RNAcentral.
GCCGGGGUAGCUCAGUUGGUAGAGCAGUGGACUGAAAAUCCGCGUGUCGGCGGUUCAAAUCCGUCCCUCGGCACCA